RNAcentral lists this ribosomal RNA (312 nucleotides) under uncultured Enterobacteriaceae bacterium. Its description in RNAcentral is "bacterial SSU rRNA". It matches the Rfam family "Bacterial small subunit ribosomal RNA", at positions 355 to 659 of the family's 1533-position model. The record is from RNAcentral. Lineage: Bacteria; Pseudomonadati; Pseudomonadota; Gammaproteobacteria; Enterobacterales; Enterobacteriaceae.
UGGGGAAUAUUGCACAAUGGGCGCAAGCCUGAUGCAGCCAUGCCGCGUGUAUGAAGAAGGCCUUCGGGUUGUAAAGUACUUUCAGCGAGGAGGAAGGCAAUGCGGUUAAUAACCGUGUUGAUUGACGUUACUCGCAGAAGAAGCACCGGCUAACUCCGUGCCAGCAGCCGCGGUAAUACGGAGGGUGCAAGCGUUAAUCGGAAUUACUGGGCGUAAAGCGCACGCAGGCGGUCUGUCAAGUCGGAUGUGAAAUCCCCGGGCUCAACCUGGGAACUGCAUUCGAAACUGGCAGGCUUGAGUCUUGUAGAGGGG